RNAcentral lists this ribosomal RNA (830 nucleotides) under uncultured bacterium. Its description in RNAcentral is "bacterial SSU rRNA". It matches the Rfam family "Bacterial small subunit ribosomal RNA", at positions 9 to 873 of the family's 1533-position model. The record is from RNAcentral.
GAGUUUGAUCCUGGCUCAGGACGAACGCUGGCGGCGUGCCUAACGCAUGCAAGUCGAACGCAGCAGGCGUGCCUGGCUGCGUGGCGAACGGCUGAGGAACGCGUGGGUAACCUGCCCCGGAGUGGGGGAUACCCCGUCGAAAGACGGGACAAUCCCGCAUACGCUCUUUGGAGGAAAGCUAUACGGCGCUCUGGGAGGGGCCUGCGGCCCAUCAGGUAGUUGGUGUGGUAACGGCGCACCAAGCCAAUGACGGGUACCCGGUCUGAGAGGACGACCGGGCAGACUGGGAGUGCGACACGGCCCAGACUCCUACGGGAGGCAGCAGCAAGGAAUUUUCCCCAAUGGGCGCAAGCCUGAGGGAGCAACGCCGCGUGGAGGACGACGGCCUUCGGGUUGUAAACUCCUUUCGGGUGGGACGAGCCUGACGGUACCACCAGAAGCAGCCCCGGCUAACUCUGUGCCAGCAGCCGCGGUAAGACAGAGGGGGCAAGCGUUGUCCGGAGUUACUGGGCGUAAAGGGCGCGCAGGCGGUGGGCUGCGUCGGCGCUGAAAGCGCCCCGCUUAACGGGGCGAGGUGCGCCGAUACGAGUUCACUCGAGGCAAGCAGAGGGUGGCGGAAUUCCGGGUGGAGCGGUGAAAUGCGUAGAGAUCCGGAGGAACGCCGGUGGGGAAGCCGGCCACCUGGGCUUGACCUGACGCUGCGGCGCGACAGCGUGGGGAGCAAACCGGAUUAGAUACCCGGGUAGUCCACGCCGUAAACGAUGCCGGCUGGGCGUCUGGCGCACGUUAGUGUGCUGGGUGCCUUAGCUCACGUGGUAAGCCGCCGCUGU